RNAcentral lists this ribosomal RNA (450 nucleotides) under uncultured bacterium. RNAcentral's name for it is "partial 16S ribosomal RNA". It matches the Rfam family "Bacterial small subunit ribosomal RNA", at positions 338 to 794 of the family's 1533-position model. The record is from RNAcentral.
CCUACGGGUGGCAGCAGUAAGGAAUAUUGGUCAAUGGAGGAAACUCUGAACCAGCCAUCCCGCGUGAAGGAUGAAGGGGCUCUGCCUUGUAAACUUCUUUUGUCUGGGGCGAAAAAGCUCGAUUUAUCGAGAACUGACGGUACCAGAAGAAUAAGCACCGGCUAACUCCGUGCCAGCAGCCGCGGUAAUACGGAGGGUGCAAGCGUUAUCCGGAAUCACUGGGUGCAAAGGGGGCGUAGGCGGCUAGUGGUGAACGGCUGUGGCUUAACCAUGGAAUUGCCAUUGAUACUGCAGAGCUUGAAUGAGGUUGAGGUUGGCGGAAUGUGACAUGUAGCGGUGAACUGCUUAGAUAUGUCAUGGAACACCGAUUGCGAAGGCAGCUGACUGGACCUAUAUUGACGCUGAGGCACGAAAGCGUGGGGAGCGAACCGGAUUCGAUACCCCUGUAGU